UACAGAGGGUGCAAGCGUUAAUCGGAAUUAUUGGGCGUAAAGGGCGCGUAGGCGGAAAAUUAAGUUGGAUGUGAAAUCCCUGGGCUUAACCUAGGAACUGCAUCCGAUACUGGUUUUCUAGAGUGUAGUAGAGGGUAGUGGAAUUUCCGGUGUAGCGGUGAAAUGCGUAGAUAUCGGAAGGAACACCAGUGGCGAAGGCGGCUACCUGGACUAACACUGACGCUGAGGCGCGAAAGCGAGGGGAUCAAACAGG
RNAcentral lists this ribosomal RNA (253 nucleotides) under uncultured bacterium. Its description in RNAcentral is "partial 16S ribosomal RNA". It matches the Rfam family "Bacterial small subunit ribosomal RNA", at positions 524 to 776 of the family's 1533-position model. The record is from RNAcentral.